GCCUGGCUAGCUCAAUCGGCUAGAGCAUUCGACUCUUAUUUAUGAGACGGUAUCGAAAGGUUGCGGGUUCGAGUCCCGCGUUGGGCU
This is a non-coding RNA of Lodderomyces orthopsilosis Co 90-125, 87 nucleotides long. NCBI's taxonomy places the organism in Eukaryota, Fungi, Ascomycota, Pichiomycetes, Serinales, Debaryomycetaceae. The record is from the annotation of a RefSeq genome assembly.